RNAcentral lists this ribosomal RNA (468 nucleotides) under uncultured bacterium. RNAcentral's name for it is "partial 16S ribosomal RNA". It matches the Rfam family "Bacterial small subunit ribosomal RNA", at positions 28 to 507 of the family's 1533-position model. The record is from RNAcentral.
GACGAACGCUGGCGGCGUGCUUAACACAUGCAAGUCGAGCGGAAAGGCCCUGCUUUUGUGGGGUGCUCGAGUGGCGAACGGGUGAGUAACACGUGAGUAACCUGCCCUUGACUUUGGGAUAACUUCAGGAAACUGGGGCUAAUACCGGAUAGGAGCUCCUGCUGCAUGGUGGGGGUUGGAAAGUUUCGGCGGUUGGGGAUGGACUCGCGGCUUAUCAGCUUGUUGGUGGGGUAGUGGCUUACCAAGGCUUUGACGGGUAGCCGGCCUGAGAGGGUGACCGGCCACAUUGGGACUGAGAUACGGCCCAGACUCCUACGGGAGGCAGCAGUGGGGAAUAUUGCACAAUGGGCGGAAGCCUGAUGCAGCAACGCCGCGUGCGGGAUGACGGCCUUCGGGUUGUAAACCGCUUUCGCCUGAGACGAAGCGUGAGUGACGGUAAUGGGUAAAGAAGCACCGGCUAACUACGUG